RNAcentral lists this unclassified non-coding RNA (391 nucleotides) under soil metagenome. RNAcentral's name for it is "partial contains 5.8S ribosomal RNA, internal transcribed spacer 2, and large subunit ribosomal RNA". The stretch from base 1 to 122 matches the Rfam family "5.8S ribosomal RNA", at positions 35 to 154 of the family's 154-position model. The record is from RNAcentral.
GAUGAAGAACGUAGUGAAAUGCGAUACUUGGUGUGAAUUGCAGAAUCCCGUGAACCAUCGAGUCUUUGAACGCAAGUUGCGCCCGAAGCCAUUAGGCCGAGGGCACGCCUGUCUGGGCGUCACACGUCGUUGCCCCCCCAUCUACUCCUUCGGGAUUGCGGGGGGCGGAUGAUGGCCUCCCGUGCGCCUCGUCGCGCGGUUGGCAUAAAUGCCAAGUCCUCGGCGACGCACGCCACGACAAUCGGUGGUUGCGAAACCUCGGUUGCCCGUCGUGUGCGGUCGUCGCGCAUCGAGGGCUCGAAAAAAUUGUCGGGCUCCGGCUCGGCUUUCAACGCGACCCCAGGUCAGGCGGGGUUACCCGCUGAAUUUAAGCAUAUCAAUAAGCGGAGGA